AGCGGCAACAGCUCAAAUUUGAAAUCUGGCUCUUUUAGAGUCCGAGUUGUAAUUUGCAGAGGGCGCUUUGGCUUUGGCAGCGGUCCAAGUUCCUUGGAACAGGACGUCACAGAGGGUGAGAAUCCCGUACGUGGUCGCUGGCUAUUGCCGUGUAAAGCCCCUUCGACGAGUCGAGUUGUUUGGGAAUGCAGCUCUAAAUGGGAGGUACAUUUCUUCUAAAGCUAAAUAUUGGCCAGAGACCGAUAGCGCACAAGUAGAGUGAUCGAAAGAUGAAAAGCACUUUGGAAAGAGAGUCAAACAGCACGUGAAAUUGUUGAAAGGGAAGCGCUUGCAGCCAGACUUGCUUGCAGUUGCUCAUCCGGGCUUUUGCCCGGUGCACUCUUCUGUAGGCAGGCCAGCAUCAGUUUGGGCGGUAGGAUAAAGGUCUCUGUCACGUACCUCUCUUCGGGGAGGCCUUAUAGGGGAGACGACAUACUACCAGCCUGGACUGAGGUCCGCGCAUCUGCUAGGAUGCUGGCGUAAUGGCUGU
RNAcentral lists this ribosomal RNA (529 nucleotides) under Alternaria leucanthemi. RNAcentral describes it as "eukaryotic LSU rRNA". It matches the Rfam family "Eukaryotic large subunit ribosomal RNA", at positions 97 to 641 of the family's 3401-position model. The record is from RNAcentral. Lineage: Eukaryota; Fungi; Ascomycota; Dothideomycetes; Pleosporales; Pleosporaceae.